Molecule: long non-coding RNA, 147 nt
Organism: Lingula anatina
Lineage: Eukaryota; Metazoa; Brachiopoda; Lingulata; Lingulida; Lingulidae
Source: RefSeq, a predicted model, not a curated record
UAGACUUUGGAAAAACUGUUGUGACAGAUGAUAAAUAUAGAGAUCUGCUUAAAAAAUCCUCAUCAAAUUUGAAGAUCAAACCUCACAAAGUUGUGAACAACAAAGAUGAAGUCAUAGAAUUGUUCUCCUCAGUUGACUGCAAGGUUU